CCUACGGGUGGCAGCAGGGGGGAAUAUUGGGCAAUGGGCGCAAGCCUGACCCAGCAACGCCGCGUGAAGGUAGAAGGCUUUCGGGUUGUAAACUUCUUUUCUCAGGGACGAAGCAAGUGACGGUACCUGAGGACUAAGCCACGGCUAACUACGUGCCAGCAGCCGCGGUAAUACGUAGGUGGCAAGCGUUAUCCUGAUUUACUGGGUGUAAAGGGCGUGUAGGCGGGGACGCAAGUCAGAUGUGAAAACCAAGGGCUCCACCGGUGGCCUGCAUUUGAAACUGUGUUUCUUGAGUACUGGAGAGGCAGACGGAAUUCGUAGUGUAGCGGUGAAAUGCGUAGAUAUUAGGAGGAACACCAGUGGCGAAGGCGGUCUGCUGGACAGCAACUGACGCUGAGGCGCGAAAGCGUGGGGAGCAAACAGGAUUAGAUACCCUGGUAGUC
Molecule: ribosomal RNA, 443 nt
Filed under: uncultured bacterium
Lineage: Bacteria
Description: partial 16S ribosomal RNA
Rfam family: Bacterial small subunit ribosomal RNA
Source: RNAcentral